RNAcentral lists this ribosomal RNA (468 nucleotides) under uncultured bacterium. RNAcentral's name for it is "partial 16S ribosomal RNA". It matches the Rfam family "Bacterial small subunit ribosomal RNA", at positions 28 to 507 of the family's 1533-position model. The record is from RNAcentral.
GACGAACGCUGGCGGCGUGCUUAACACAUGCAAGUCGAACGGAAAGGCCCUGCUUUUGUGGGGUGCUCGAGUGGCGAACGGGUGAGUAACACGUGAGUAACCUGCCCUUGACUUUGGGAUAACUUCAGGAAACUGGGGCUAAUACCGGAUAGGAGCUCCUGCUGCAUGGUGGGGGUUGGAAAGUUUCGGCGGUUGGGGAUGGACUCGCGGCUUAUCAGCUUGUUGGUGGGGUAGUGGCUUACCAAGGCUUUGACGGGUAGCCGGCCUGAGAGGGUGACCGGCGACAAUGGGACUGAGAUACGGCCCAGACUCCUACGGGAGGCAGCAGUGGGGAAUAUUGCACAAUGGGCGGGAGCCUGAUGCAGCAACGCCGCGUGCGGGAUGACGGCCUUCGGGUUGUAAACCGCUUUCGCCUGUGACGAAGCGUGAGUGACGGUAAUGGGUAAAGAAGCACCGGCUAACUACGUG